RNAcentral lists this ribosomal RNA (458 nucleotides) under uncultured bacterium. RNAcentral describes it as "partial 16S ribosomal RNA". It matches the Rfam family "Bacterial small subunit ribosomal RNA", at positions 28 to 507 of the family's 1533-position model. The record is from RNAcentral.
GGUGAACGCUGGCGGCGUGCUUAAGACAUGCAAGUCGAACGGGCUCUUCGGAGCCAGUGGCGCACGGGUGAGUAACGCGUAACUGACCUACCCCAAAGUCGCGGAUAACGAUUCGAAAGAAUCGCUAAUACGUGAUGUGCUGUCAGAUCCUGUUCUGCCAGUAAAGAUUUAUUGCUUUGGGAUGGGGUUGCGUUCCAUCAGCUAGUUGGUGGGGUAAAGGCCCACUAAGGCGACGACGGAUCGCCGGCCUGAGAGGGUGGCCGGCCACAGGGGCACUGAGACACGGGUCCCACUCCUACGGGAGGCAGCAGUUAGGAAUCUGCCACAAUGGGCGAAAGCCUGAUGGAGCGACGCCGCGUGAGGGAUGAAGGUCUUCGGAUCGUAAACCUCUGAAUCAGGGACGAAAGACGCGAAAGCGGGAUGACGGUACCUGAGUAAUAGCACCGGCUAACUCCGUG